Molecule: long non-coding RNA, 2641 nt
Filed under: Eucalyptus grandis
Lineage: Eukaryota; Viridiplantae; Streptophyta; Magnoliopsida; Myrtales; Myrtaceae
Description: long non-coding RNA (EGRA_LNC003747)
Source: RNAcentral
UUGAAAUUCACAACUGCACUUUUAUUAAUAGCACAACUCAUAGUAUAUUUACGAUACUAUUUAUAGCAAACAAGUCUCACACCUAUCUAUACUAAGACAGGGAUCACAAAAGGGAUGGGAUCUCAAUCCACAUCCGGGUUAUACUCAAGAUCUCUCUCUGGAUUAUCUUCUUCUUUAAAUGUCUUUCUCCUCUUCAGGUUCCUCUUCCUCAGCUUCUCCUCAAGGUCCUGAAAUGGUUAUUCAAUAACUAAUGAGACCACGUCUCAGCAAGUUCUACCCCAUAAGACUCGAUUAGUAAACCAAUACACCUUAGACUACCUAAGCACAUCACGAGUCAGAGGACUUACCUUGGCCUCAGCUCCUUCCUGCAAGUUAGUAUAUAUAUAUAUCAAAUAUACAUCAUCACAUCACAUCACAUCACCCAAUCAGAUCGAAUCAUCAAUCAAUCGACUUAGUCGAUUAUAUGUCAUUCAAAUUAUCUCUUGAUUGACUCCUUCCAUACUUUCUAUAAGUCUGAUCAACAUCCAAGACUACUCACCCUAAGGAAUAUAUAGAUAGUAUGCUAUCUUAUCUCCAGACGACAUAUAGAGUCAUUGAGCUAUCAAAUCAUACCGUACUGUCUCUAGAUGCUCCAUAGAGUUAUCGAGCCGGUAGAUCAUACCGUCCUGUCUCAAGAUGCUCUGUGGAGUCAUCGAGCCGGUAUACACACAAUUUAUAAUACCGUACUAUCUCCAGAUGCUCCGUAGAGUCAUCGAGCCGGUAGAUCAUACCGUCCUGUCUCAAGAUGCUCCGUGGAGUCAUCGAGCCGGUAUACACACAAUUUAUCAUACCGUACUGUCUCCAGAUGCUCCGUAGAGUCAUCGAGCCGGUAUACACACAAUUUAUCAUACCGUACUGUCUCCAGAUGCUCCGUAGAGUCAUCGAGCCGGUAUACAUGUCAUUCCAAGCAAACAAUCAAAUAACCAGUUUUAUCCUUUCCGAUAAAAUGACGUGUGGGUACACGAUCGGCUCUAACCAAAAUAUAAUAAUUUCCUUUUUAUAAAUCCCAACAUUUUUUGUAGUCCACUAAAACAGUUUUGGUAUCAUUAACUGAUGCCCGGUUAAUUUCCAAUUAAUUUUCCAAGAUUAUUUAAAUUAGGGAAUAAAUCCUAAUUUCACAAAUAAAUCAUUUCCGCACAAAAUAAAGCUCAAUUAAAUAAACGGACUAGACCACGACAAUCAGUAUAAAAGUUCGGUCACUGGCCAUCCCGGUUGAAUUUCCGAAAAAAUAAAUAAAUUCGAAUAAAUAAAUAAAUACUAAAAAUCCAAUUUAGGCCCAUAUUGCCUUAUUGGACGCCAGAACGGAUCGAGAAAAAUCCCGAGAUACAUUCAAUAAAUAUUAAAAGCUCUCUACUUGCUAAUGACUAAGUCUAACUACCUAACAUGCAUCAUUAAGUCACUAAUUUAAUUGUUCUAGACUGAUCUAACCACCUAAUUGCACUUAAUUAAAUCUAACUAAUCCCUAAGCAUAAUUAGCAAACUAAGAAAGCAUUAGUGAGUAAAACUCACUUGGUAAAAGCGGAGACCAGGACACCACAACGGCGACGCGACGGCAGCCGAAAUCCAAAUUUUCGGCGGCGUUGGUAGACACUCGGGCCGGGCUAAAAAGCCUCACAAGCCCACAGAAAAUUCUGGGCUUGGACUGAACUUGGGCCUGAGUUGGGUGACUUGCUUCGCGGGCUUGGGCUUCAAGAUUGUGCUGCUGAAUUGGGCCUCAAAUUACUGGGCUGAUCUUGCUUUAAAGAAACUGUUGGGCUGAUUUCUUGUGGGCCUGACUUUGUUUGGGCUUCAAAUGGCGUGGGCUCAAUGAAGCUGCUGGGCUGAAGACAGGUUGGAUUGAAGCUGCAAUGAAGACGCGCGGGCCGAAGACUGCAAGAAAUCGAAGCGGCGAAGAUCAAGAAGCAGCUGCUGACGCGCUUCGGUGGACGUUGCUGACCUUCGUGGCAGCGGCUCCUGGCGUCUCCGAGUCAACUUCAAGGGGAAUUUACUGAUUUUGUUGACUUGGCCAAACAACCGAGAGUGGAUCAGCUUCAGUUGACUUGCUUCGAUGAAGCUAGAUACGGAGGAGUCAACGUGGCUGAGGGAACUCGCUUGCUGGUUGACUCGGCAGGAAACAAAGCUUAGUGGAGGAUGGGCGUGGGCUGCAGAGAAGCGAAGCGGUGGAGCUGCAGGUGAUGGCUUCGGUCAACAGAACAUGGAGUCAGUCUCGAUGGAAGACUUCGCGCGGAUGGAGGAACACGCGGACGCUGUUGCUGCUGGGGAAUCUUCGAUCGUUGCUGGACACGCACAACCCCGAAAGAAAAAGAAGGGCAGCUGGCGUUGGGCUUCGUGGGCGUGGAGAUGCAGAGGAGUCAACUUUACUGGGGUUUUCUUUUCUUUGAUUGACCAAGGAAGCUAGGUAAUGGGACGUGUGGCAAGAAGGGAGUUCGGUGAAGAUGGGAUCGCACGAAAAUAAAACUACUGGACUGCUCGGUGGAAAGAAAUAAAAUGAUGGUGUUGAGUGCAUGAAAAAGGAAAGAAGAAGCAAGUGUGCGAAGGAGGACGAGUCGUGCACGAAGAGAUGAAGACCGGCAGAGCUUGUCCAACAAGCUGGAUGAGAGAG